RNAcentral lists this ribosomal RNA (200 nucleotides) under uncultured bacterium. RNAcentral's name for it is "partial 16S ribosomal RNA". It matches the Rfam family "Bacterial small subunit ribosomal RNA", at positions 28 to 217 of the family's 1533-position model. The record is from RNAcentral.
GAUGAACGCUGGCGGCGUGCCUAAUACAUGCAAGUCGAGCGAACAGACGAGGAGCUUGCUCCUCUGACGUUAGCGGCGGACGGGUGAGUAACACGUGGAUAACCUACCUAUAAGACUGGGAUAACUUCGGGAAACCGGAGCUAAUACCGGAUAAUAUAUUGAACCGCAUGGUUCAAUAGUGAAAGACGGUUUUGCUGUCA